Telopea speciosissima is the source of this 173-nucleotide long non-coding RNA. RefSeq lists it as uncharacterized. The transcript is spliced from 3 exons. Lineage: Eukaryota; Viridiplantae; Streptophyta; Magnoliopsida; Proteales; Proteaceae. The record is from RefSeq and is a predicted model, not a curated record.
UUUUCUCUGUUUUGGUAAUAAUUUUCUAUGUCUUGGGGGCAGAUAUCUAUGUUUAGGAUUUGUUAUCUAUGUAUGGGGAAUUCCAAAGGGGUUUCGGAAUUCUAAGAGUCUCUUUAAUGUUAUUGUGUUGUACUGAAGAUUUUUAUCUCUAUAUAAUGCAAGUCCUGGCUGCU